GAGCGUGGGAAGACUCCAGAAUCCACUCUGGCUGGAAUCCGGUGGAUACAGCAGUGUUACAGAACAGUUCUCCACAGUCGCUGUCCACAUGGGUCAGUGGGACCAAGCAGCACUCUGCUAAUGUGAGACUCUGACCAGCAACAUCCAGCAAGACCCAGGCAGCGUUUUCUAUCUCCCAGCUGGUGUUUUUUUGUUUGUCUGUGACUGGAGAGUCAGAUUUUUGUUGAGGCUGGAGGAACAGACUCACACUUGCAGAGGUUAAUACACUCUACUGAUCCCUGAUGGGAGAAUCAUCACCUCUGCCAACAAAGAAGCCUGGUGGAUAUUUGUUUGCAGUCUGAUGAUGGGACAUCAUGCUCUGCAUCUUCAAAGUUUGUCUCUUGAUUAUUAUUCAUACACAGUAAUGUGAAGUAUGCUCAUAUCUAGUAUAACUGGACCAACCUGGUGCUCUUCAUUUAUGGAGGCUGUUGAGUCUGAAUGUUGGAUGUUGUGUAUCUCGUGUUCUCUGGGCUUUGUUGUCCUCAGUCUUUUUGCAGGAUCAGAAAACAAAACCAGGAGGCGCGUAAAUGUUUCUUCUCCAAUUGGAUGAUGAUAAGACUGUGACAUGGGAUGCCACCUUUAGUCUUGUGAUGAAGCAAAGCUCAGGAAGAAGUGUGAUUAAAUGGUACCCACGUGUGCUGCUGAGAAGGAUGUACAGGGGCACCUGCAGCCAAAUCCAAGCCUCCUCAGCAGCUUCAGGUCUGUCAGCGUGCUGAGGUCACAGAAACAAGAAAAGCAGCUUCAGACUUCAGAGUGUUGUUUACAGUUUUCUGUCAUCAUGAUCUCCCCUGAAGUUUAUCACUAUUAUACAAGCAUUGCAAUUGUUAAAUGAAAUAUACAUAUAUAUAUAUAUAUAUGUAUAUAUAUAUAUAUUCUGAUCUAUGCUACUGAUCUAUGCUCACACAUGGUGAUGGUGUGGAGAGACGGUGGUGUUUCCUCAGAAGAACCAGCAGAGUCACAAAGGGCACGAGUCCAUCUCACCACCUUGACUUGCUGACUGAUGCUCGUCUGCACUGCACAGAGGAAAUCAACUGACCGAGGUAAAUCUCCAGUUUCUGAGUGAGGGAGAGAGGAGUCAUCAUCCAGGUAAAGUGACGUGGAUCAGUGGAUACACUUGUCUCCCCUUUAAAGGAGAUACUCUUAGAGAGAGACGAUCCGAGUCAUCAUAAAAUAUGGGCAGGAUAUCACUAUUAGACUGUCUAACCUGCCGGAGCAGCACUGAAUGAUCACCACACAUGAUCAGUUCCUGCAACAUUCAGCAGCUCUGCUUUUGUGUCGAAUGUCAAACAGCUGGAGAGGAAACUACACCAGUGUACUGGGAUGUUUCACCAACACGUGCCAGACGCUGUUCCUUCAUGGUGACAUCACCAGAGACAGCCCCGCCCACCUCAGGACCUCGCCAUUGAUCAUGAUGAUUAUAAUGAUGACAGCGAGCGGAACUAAAACUGUAAAAAUCCACGACCAGAAUGUUUAGAUGCUUUCUAAUUAUAAAUGAAUACUGAGAGCCUCUUUCUGUGUUUUGUCUGUUUUGGGGUUUUUUUUUUACCUCAUUUGUUACUAACAAAGUUCAACAAACUCACACAGUUUACAUUCUGUAUGUUUCCAUCUUUACCAGCCACAGUCUAACUGCAAUUAAGCAAAUAAUCCUUAGAAAUCGUCGUUUUUUUCUUUUGUAAUUGAUGAUAAUUCAGUGAAUAUACUGCGCUGCUUCCUUUUGUUUCGUCACACAUUGCUUUAAGUUUUUCAGUGUCCAGUUAUUUUUUUACUGCUGUUUGAAUUCUCUGCAUGUUUGACCCUGUAGACUGUUUGAUGGACUGCUUGUCUUCCUGUUUGUAACCGCCGCCUGUUUUUGACUAAAGAUUUGGAUUUGUGACUUUAA
Molecule: long non-coding RNA, 1918 nt
Organism: Oreochromis niloticus (Nile tilapia)
Lineage: Eukaryota; Metazoa; Chordata; Actinopteri; Cichliformes; Cichlidae
Exons: 8
Source: RefSeq, a predicted model, not a curated record